UGCCAGCAGCCGCGGUAAUACGAAGGGUGCUAGCGUUGUUCGGAAUUACUGGGCGUAAAGAGCAUGUAGGCGGCAUACCAAGUUGGGGGUGAAAUCCCGGGGCUCAACCCCGGAACUGCCUCCAAAACUGGUAAGCUAGAGGAUGUGAGAGGAUAGUGGAAUUCCGAGUGUAGAGGUGAAAUUCGUAGAUAUUCGGAAGAACACCAGUGGCGAAGGCGACUGUCUGGCACAUUUCUGACGCUGAGGUGCGAAAGCGUGGGUAGCAAACGGGAUUAGAUA
This 279-nucleotide ribosomal RNA is filed under the name uncultured bacterium. RNAcentral's name for it is "partial 16S ribosomal RNA". It matches the Rfam family "Bacterial small subunit ribosomal RNA", at positions 506 to 784 of the family's 1533-position model. The record is from RNAcentral.